This is an RNA transcript of Mus pahari (shrew mouse), 738 nucleotides long. It is a transcript of the gene named high mobility group protein B2 pseudogene, with no coding region annotated. The record is from RefSeq and is a predicted model, not a curated record. NCBI's taxonomy places the organism in Eukaryota, Metazoa, Chordata, Mammalia, Rodentia, Muridae. The transcript has a single exon.
AUGGGCAAGGGUGACCCCAGCAAGCCACAAGGCAAAUUGUCCUCAUACGCCUUCUUUGUGCAGAGCACAAGAAGCAUCCCGACUCGUCAGUCAAUUUCACCAAGUUCUCCAAGAAAUGCUCCGAGAAAUGGAAGACCAUGUCUGCAAAGGAAAAGUCGAAGUUUGAAGAUUUGGCCAAGAGCAACAAAGUUCGUUAUGACAGGGAGAUGAAGAACUAUAUAUAUGUUCCUCCCAAUGGUGAUAAGAAAGGAAAGAAAAAAGAUCCAAAUGCUCCGAAGAGACCACCGUCUGCCUUCUUCCUGUUUUGCUCUGAAAAUCGCCCAAAGAUCAAAAUUGAACACCCUGGCCUGUCUAUUGGAGAUCCUGUGAAGAAACUGGAUGAGAUGUGGUUUGAGCAAUCUGCCAAAGAGAAACAACCAUGUGAGCAGAAAGCAGCUAAACUAAAGGAGAAGUAUGAAAAGGAUAUUGCUGCAUACCAUGCCAAGGGCAAAAGUGAAGUAGGAAAGAAGGGUCCUGGUAGGCCAACAGGAUCAAAGAAGAAGAAUGAACCAGAAGAUGAGGAAGGAGAAGAGAAGGAAGAGGAGGAAGAUGAGGAGGGGGAAGAUGAGGAUGAAGAAUAAGUGGCAGUCCUAAAGUGUGGAAUAUAUGUGUUCGGGCAAUUAUUUUGCUAAGAAUGUGAAAUUCAAGUGCAGCUCAACAUUAGCUUCAGUAUAAAAACUGUACAGAUUUUUGUAUAGC